UUUUGUUUCAUUUCAGCUUGCUAUUUUUGUGUCCCUCCUGCCCCCACCUCUUCAGCAUAUCCUACGACUGGCUAGACUGGGGUUCUCUAAGUGAGGCGAGACUAUGUGAAUUACCCAACUGCAAUCCUGUUUCAGUGCUGGAAGAUGCUAUGGAGGUCCCUGGAGAAGUUGAAGACCUUGCCAAACGUGCCCCAUUGACUGAUAACCACAACACAAGGUUUAGCCGGGAGCAUCCAUCUGACCAUGGAUUUGAGCUAUCCAUUGGGACCUGGUGAGUUCAUCAAUGAGUCCACAAGUGAAGAUGAUGACUUCGUCUUUCCCACUGUCUACUAACAGCCAAUAGUUCACAGUAAGGAGUGGGACUCCAUUAGCCUCUCACCUAACCAUGAUUGGUUGCUAAUACAGAUGGUCUUCUGCAA
Peromyscus eremicus (cactus mouse) is the source of this 419-nucleotide long non-coding RNA. RefSeq lists it as uncharacterized. Lineage: Eukaryota; Metazoa; Chordata; Mammalia; Rodentia; Cricetidae. The record is from RefSeq and is a predicted model, not a curated record. The transcript is spliced from 3 exons.